Molecule: long non-coding RNA, 1099 nt
Filed under: Mus musculus (house mouse)
Lineage: Eukaryota; Metazoa; Chordata; Mammalia; Rodentia; Muridae
Description: long non-coding RNA chr15:74679826-74680925
Source: RNAcentral
AAGGGCUUCCUAGAGGUGGAGCCUGUGGGUAGAAGGCAAAGAGCACAGGUUGAGCAGGGGAGGCCAGUGCUGUGUCCCCUCCACUCUUUUGGCUCCCUAAUGGCCUUCAAGCGUGGUUACCCUCCUCUGGCUGGUGACUCCUCCGUUUUCUCUCUGGGCGGGGAGGGUGUUGGAUCUGGACCUCUUUCUUUCUCCGAUGUCUCCUCCUACCAGAGGCAGCUCAUCUGAGUUCUCAAGCCUUUGCCCUGGGCUUUGAAACUGACAACCAGCUCCCAGUGAGUGACCUGUGGAGCUGCAGACAUGUGGAGAUCCAAGUUGUCUCCCCACUUCCUGUAGUUCUCUAGCUAAGGCAAGCAGGUCUCUACCAUUGAUGGAUCUCACAGGUACCAGGCACGACUCUCGGUCCCUCGACCCACUGGAAAAGGUUGUGCAUGGGUUCAGGGUCUGCCCCAAACUGCCCAGUUGAGCAACCCCCCCCCCCCACACACACACACAUCUAGCCCUUUCUCUGUCCAAGGACAGGGGAGGAGCCCAGGUUGUGUGGACUUUCUUUUCUUUUUUUUUUUGUUUUUUUUUUUGUUUUUUGUUUUUUGUUUUUUGAGACAGGGUUUUUCUCUGUAUAGCCCUGGCUGUCCUGGAACUCACUCUGUAGAACAGGCUGGCCUCGAACUCAGAAAUCUGCCUGCCUCCGCCUCUCAAGUGCUGGGAUUAAAGGCUUGCGCCACCACGCCCGUCUGUGUGGACUUUCUAAGAAAAAAAAAAGUGAGCAGACACUGUAGGGAUCAGAUGACCAACACAACCACUUCUCAGCCGUGAGCUCCAUCAUGGACACUGUGACCACCACAGCUGCUACCACAUCCUCACCAUUAUCAUCCCCACCAUUGCCACAUCUCCAAGCAUCACCCAUCAGCCCAUGACCACGGGCAGGACCCCACUUUACCUCUCCAUUUUGACCCCUACACAAACAUCCCCAGUUUCACCCCACCCUGAUCUCCAUACUGCCAACUCCAGCAAUGUCACCACUGUCAUCCCUACCAUUGCUCCACUGUCCAUAUCAGUGUUGCCAAUGUCACCAUCCACACACACACACCUCUCCACC